GUGUUACCCUUCUGCGUUUCUCUUACAGUUCCUUCCUCACUCGAGUGACUCUGUAAUCUUCCUUCCCGACUUACCGUUUUUAACUCUACGCUAGCUCUUUCGAAAAGGAAAGCGAAAACAUGGCGAAUGAUCAGGCCAACGAAGAUCCACUGAAGAAGGUGUUUGUUGGUGGUUUAAAUAGAUCCACAUCAGACGAAACUUUAAAGACGUACUUUGAGUCUUAUGGAGAAAUGACAGACUGUGUAGUAAUACGCGAUGGAACCAAGGCUUCUAGAGGAUUCGGCUACGUGACUUUCGCUGAGAGAGAAAGCGUCUUAAAGGUUUUGGAAGAAAAACCUCAUACGAUUGAUGGCAAAACCGUGGAAGUAAAACGAGCUAUUCCGAGAAAUGAGGACAGCGCAUCAGCUCAUCAUAGAACAAAGAAACUCUUCAUUGGUGGAUUGAAAGACGAGACGACCAUGGAAGACAUCAAGCAAGCCGUCGCCGAGUCAGCACGCGGAAUUGCGCCAACUCUUGUGGACCUGAUCAUGAAAAAAGAAGAGCCAACAAAGCAUCGUGGUUUCUGCUUCGUUGAAUUUGACGACGAGGAUAUUGUGGAUGAACUUUGUUGCCUCAAAAGGAUCACUAUCUCUGGCAAACAAGUUGAAAUCAAGAAAGCUCAACCUAAAGAUGGUCAGGGGGCACGUUCUGGGGGUCGUGGUGGACGCGGAGGUGGUCGUGGAUUCAGCCAUCGCGAUCGCAGUGGUGGAGGAGGUGGACACCACGCAUAUAAUAUGUAUGGCGGUGCUGGAUACCAACAAUACUCCGAUCCGAGUUAUUACAGCUAUGAAGGUUAUGGCUACGACAAUGGCUACGGUAAUAUGGGUAACUACCAGCAAGCUCCUUCAAACUUUGGCUCACAGCAGGGUGGAUAUGGAAGAGGUGGCGGUCCAAGACAACGGUACACACCAUACUAGACAAGAUUGGCAAAGUUUUUUUUGCAUUGUGUGUCCUGCGGUGCUGUAGUCAGGAGUGCAUGAUUGUUCAAUCAUCAGCAUUGUACUGAUGCAGCAACAAGGGGGGGAGAGAUUAUCAAGCUCAAAAUAUGUAUGCCACAUAUGAAACCCUAUUGGAGUGCGGACCUACCUAGUGUGAGAAUACAACCCAGAAGUUCACAAGCUAUACUGAUGAAAACAGUGAAAUGGAGUGGCCUGGGGCCUGGGACCUGGCAUAAUAUCCAUCUCUGUCAAAGCAUUUUUUAAAUGAAUAUCAGUUAAACUUCCCUUUAAAGUCUUGGGAAAGAACAUAUUGAAAAAAUUAAAUUAAUAAAAAAGUGCACGAAGUG
RNAcentral lists this unclassified non-coding RNA (1324 nucleotides) under Stylophora pistillata. RNAcentral describes it as "heterogeneous nuclear ribonucleoprotein A0-like, transcript variant X2". Lineage: Eukaryota; Metazoa; Cnidaria; Anthozoa; Scleractinia; Pocilloporidae. The record is from RNAcentral.